This is a long non-coding RNA of Talpa occidentalis (Iberian mole), 383 nucleotides long. RefSeq lists it as uncharacterized. The record is from RefSeq and is a predicted model, not a curated record. The transcript has 4 exons. NCBI's taxonomy places the organism in Eukaryota, Metazoa, Chordata, Mammalia, Eulipotyphla, Talpidae.
UUCUGUUCCCUGUCCUCUCCUCUAGGGAUCCUGCCCAACCUGACUCACCCCAGCACCUUUAUAGUACGGUUGGCUGUGCAGGACCCUGAGGGCACAGAUGGCAGAACCUCAAAAGAGCCUCUGCUCUGUGCCUUAAACAAGAGCUACCCAGAUCAGCUCCUCAAAGAGGUGUGAUAUGAAAGAGAAACUUCCAUUGAGCUAUUGAUUCAUCCAAGGUGAUAUAAUCUAAUGAACAUCAGAGACAGAAUGAGAAUUUUUGACAAAGACUAUGCCUGCAAAGGAAGCUAUGUGGAGUUUUUCUGAGUACACACUUGAUAAAGUUCAUCAACAUGAAAGGAAGCAGAAUAUUCUGGACGAAGGGAGCAAUCAUGUGGAAGAUUGAG